GCCAGGUGUGGUGGCGUAUGCCUGUAAUCCAAGCAACUCAGGAGGCUGAGGCAGGAGGAUUUGAAGUUUGAGGCCAGCCUCAG
RNAcentral lists this small RNA (83 nucleotides) under Marmota monax (woodchuck). The record is from RNAcentral. Lineage: Eukaryota; Metazoa; Chordata; Mammalia; Rodentia; Sciuridae.